Molecule: ribosomal RNA, 253 nt
Filed under: uncultured bacterium
Lineage: Bacteria
Description: partial 16S ribosomal RNA
Rfam family: Bacterial small subunit ribosomal RNA
Source: RNAcentral
UACAGAGGGGGCAAGCGUUGUUCGGAAUUACUGGGCGUAAAGGGCGCGUAGGCGGCCUUCUAAGUCGGACGUGAAAUCCCUGGGCUCAACCCAGGAACUGCGUCCGAUACUGGAAGGCUUGAAUCCGGGAGAGGGAUGCGGAAUUCCAGGUGUAGCGGUGAAAUGCGUAGAUAUCUGGAGGAACACCGGUGGCGAAGGCGGCAUCCUGGACCAUUACUGACGCUGAACCGCGAAAGCUAGGGGAGCAAACGGG